AGAUGUUCCCUUGGAGGAGUCUUGUAUGAAAAACAGCCUUCGCAUCUGUUGUUUUCCUUAUUUAGGGUCUAUUUCAUGCUGAAUGAUCCUGGAACACACCCCAGGCCUCUGUCUGGACUCCUCUGCAGCCUGUACUUCCUCUUCAGCACUGCAGCUCCUGAAACACUUGGUGACAUAUGGUAGCCUAUCUGUGAAGUGUGCUCAGUGCACUCCAUUUGCUUUCUCACUCUGCAGGCUGGUGCAUCGUGUUGGGCUUCGUAUUUCUUAAAGGGAGACUGAUAAACUGAUAGUUGGCCACCUGAAAUCUUUUUUUUGGAACAAGACUGGAACCUGACACAUCGGCCAGAACAGAAGGCAUGAAAGUGCUGUGACAGUGAUCCAGCCGGGCCAUUCUGUCCAGAGCCACGCAGCCCUGCAGCUGUUAGCCUGGAGGACUUCAUGGCCUCAGCCCGUGUUGUCGAUGGAGAAGAACUGGAACCAUUGAAGAGUCUUCAUGUUGCACACACUGUCUCCUUCACCAUCCAUGAAUGUGGGGACGCAUGGAUCCCACAUCCAUGAAUUGGGAAUGUGGGGUAAGGGAGCAGGCUGGGAACAUUCACUGGAAUCAACAACUUCGAAUUGAAAUUCUUUGCCCUUGAGAACUUUGGCCAAGGAAGAUCCUGGUUGUAUGCCCUCUCCUACCCUUUAUAGUCUAUGGAAAUCCUUCAUCUUUUUAAAAUCGUUUGGAAUGAAAAAAAUUUACACAGUGAAUUUUUCUUAUCUAGAACUUAUACCUUAAGGGCCCUGACCACUUGUUACUUUAAUGAAUUUUAAUACUAAUCUUUCUAAAAUGAAUUGCACACUUCUUUGCUUUCCGAAAAGAUCAAGUGAAGAUAGUAUACAUUUUUCAUUUUCCUAUUUACUGUCAGGUGCUCUGUUGUCACUUUCCAUGGCUGCCUCUAACCGACUUUGUCCCCGUAUCUAAUUUGCUGCUUCUGAAUGGCAGUGAGCAAAAACUCAACAUGCUGAGCUUAAAAAUAUAUUUAUACAGGUGAUGUAUGUUUUUGAAGAGGGGAGGAGAAACUCUCUCAAGUCAAGUGCAUGAGCUGUGCCUGGGGACACAUAUUUCUGCUUUAUGGAGACCUUUAAAAAUACUCUCCCCAAACUUUUCUUGUUCAUCUUUGAUUCUCAGUGGUGUCCUAGACAUUUGAAGUUAGCAGAUAAAUAACCCUCAGAUAAGUAAAGAGUUGUGGACUGACUGUUCUUCAAAGGUUAGAAAACAGAUCAAAUAUAUCCAUUUCCCAAUUGGGAGUGGGGGUCAGCUGCAGAGCAGCCAGCAAAGACACUUAAUUCAAGCUUAAUCGCUUCUCCCAUGCUGACUGGAUGUGAAUGCGGGGUCUUUCACAGUGACGAUGGCUGUGGCAACAGAAGGAGGAGCACAGAAGGCUCCUGGAGGUGCUGUGCACUGGAAACAGGUUGGAUGUGUGCUAUUUGGGUGUAGCAGACAACACGGGGAGAAGUCUUCUGCAGAAGGAGGUGAGUGACUGAGGGGUAACGCGCUGGGUUUGAAUGGAACUAUCCGUCAAACCGUGAGGCCUAUUCUUUGGAGCUAUAUUUGCCAAGAACUCAAGUGUCCUGUAAAACUUGGAGCAUCUUGGAAGUGGGAGGAAGUGCACCCCAACCCUGACACUUUUAUUUUAGAAAAAGAAACCUAAGCUCAGAACAAGCUUCUGUGUUCUUAGAUGAGCCAGCAUAAGCAUCUGUACUCUGACUCCAACGCCAAUAUUUCUUCCUACUUCAGAAUGCUUUCAAACGUAAGAUGUCAUGAAUGCAAGCAAAGGCUUUCUGUGGGUAGCAAGCUUACUGCUAGUUUUGGGAUGAAAAGACCUGAUGCCUUGGGUGGUUUUCUAUAUUCAAACAAAAGAUGCAACAGAUCAUCUGCAGAUGACCAAUUGGUAUAAUGGCCAAAUGAUUUAGAGAAGUUGUUUUCAUCUUUUUUAUCUAUCAGUAGAUGGCAGGAGAUACCAUCAAAUCAAGUCAUGAAAAGGGGCUCAAAUGAUGGAAUUCAGUCAUUGUUCCUUGUAUUCCCUAGAAAGCUUGCUAUCUAGGGUAGUCAGGGUACUAUGUUGACACCUAGGGGGAGACUGUUUUUGAAUAUAGAUUUGGGUUCACUUAUUUGCUUCCCCAUUAAUCUGGUGAGAUUACAGCUGGUUUAAAACAAUAACCAAAUGUUGGAACUAAAUUUACACUCUUUAAAGAAGACACCUGGAGAAAUGAUUCAUCACUCAUGUUGCUAAGAUUAAUUGGGCAUUAUAAUUGUGUUAAGUGGAUUCACACACCAUGUAGGAAUCCAGGAGUUUCCUAUUUGCUUUCUUUUCUUUUCUUUUUUCUUUCCCUUUAGGCAGAGAAGAGAAAACAGAGCUAGCUAACUUUGGUGUGAGAUGGGGCAAUCCAGUAUCAUAAACAGCUUUAUCUAAGAUUAAUGCAGAUAAAGCACUACAAUUAAAAUAAUACUCAGUAAACGCAAGGAUAUUUUCAAAUGCCUGAAUCGACUCUGGUCUUAUGAGCUGAUAUUUCCCUACCCACAGAAAGGUCAUUUUCAUCAAGAUUAAAUUUGAUUUUACUUAGAUUUUUUUGGAGUAAAGGGUACUUAGAUGCACUAUCCUCAGGUUUUCCUAAUUUGGAGAUUAUAGAAAGGUGAAGCCCUUGUGGAAUUUUCAAGAAUUGAAGUUUUCAAGUCUUCAAGUGUGUUGUUCCCUUCUUAUGCACUUGUCAUCACUUAACACCUUAUGCCUGUGAUGCAAAGGAUUUGAAUCAACUACUUUAAAAAAAUCUCUUUCAUCGUUUGACCCCUGCUUUUUGGAUAAUUUAUGAGAAAAACAUUUAAUCGAUGUAUUGAUUUUUUUCUCUUUUAAACAACAGCUUAGCCGGAAACCAUGCAUAGUUUGGGAAGGCUAACUGCAGGGGCAUGGACAUGGGUGUCACACCCAACCACAGCCUUGGUUUGUGCCACCUCCAAUCACAAGGGCACCAAGGGCCUGCUGGGUCCCCAGGUGGGAAUGAGUGCCACAGAAAGCCCCAAAUCCUUGAAACAGAAAGAGAACUGAAUUUGCUUGCAAGCAGACUCUACUUACUUUUCCUUGUAAAUUUCUCCACUGGGGAAAAGAUUUUACUCAAAAGCACAUUAUUUUCUCCUUUGCAAAACAUCCAAGUGGUGGCUGCUACCAAAAUAUGCUACCAGAGAACAUAAAAACAGUCUUCUGAGUCUGUGUUAGGCCACUUGAAAGUCUCACUUGACAACCCCUCAGUGUUACUGAGCAGCACCAUGCUGUUGUACUGCGGGAGAUGGCACUUCUGGGUCAAGGUAUGGGGCCUCCAGGUGUGGGAAACUAGGAAGAACCAAGCAGUCCUGGCAUGGACACAGGAUAGCCAGUGUGCCCUCUUUCAGUGGUUUUACCAUUUGUUGUAUGUUGUAAAUCUCCUACAACUUAUUUAUUUCAUUGUCAGGGACAUCCUUUCACAAUGAAAAGUGGCAAUAAGUUUCAUGGUCACCCAUUCAUGCCCCUACUUCUUCCCAAAGACUCUACUUUCCUGUUUUGUGUGUACCAUUAUCAACAACAUACGGUCAAUUGCUAAGGAUGCAUGUUGAUCUUGCCUAUAUUGUUCAGCUUUCUCAUUCUGUGAUCAGCUGGCUUCAAGGCAGAAACAUCAUGGUGGAAGGGUACAGUGGAGCAAAGAUGCUUAGUUCACGGCAGCCAGGAAACAAGUGUAACAGUGCCAGAGAGGAAGGGGGCCUGGGACCAUAUACAGAACCCAAGUCAUGCCUACAUGACUGACCCAGACACACCUGGAGGUGUGCUCCACCAGUUCCCCAUGUUGAUCCCAAAGCCAAUCAAAUCAACACUUCAUUCAGGCCACAUCUCACUCCUUGUCAAGUUCAUGCCUGAAUACAUCCCUUUAACCACACUUAAUCUCUAAAUAAAGACAACACUGUAUUCAUAAUUCUGACUAACAUAGUACAACUCUACUGCAUACAACCAGAAAUGCAACAAUCCCUUCCUCAAAGCCUCAACAGUUUUAGCAUUUCUCAAUGUCAGCAUUUUUCAAAAGUCCAAGUCAAUGUUUCCUCUCAGACUCAAGGUAAAUUCUUAGCUGUGAACUUCUGUAAAAAUAAAAUAACAAGUUGUUCAUUCCUAAGGUAUAAUGGCAUAGGGUCAACAUUCCUAUUCCAAUAGGGAAGAAAGGGGCUAGAAAACAAACCAAAGCAAGACUGAAAACCAGCAGGACAAACAUUAAGUCCUAUAUCUUGGUACACAGCAUCUGGGCACAUGCUAAUGAGAUGUGAAUUCCAGAGCUUGGAUGGCCCCACCCCUAUGGGCUCACUGGUUGCUCCCCACGUGUUCUUUCUCUGGGGUUGGCUCCACUCAUGGUCUGCAGCUUUCCUUGGCAGAUGUUCCACAUUACCACUAUCUCUGACUUCCUGGGAUCUCCACUGCACCUUUGGUUUCAUUCCUAUAGCUUCAUGUACUGCCCUCUGAGGGGCUUCUUGCCUGGUCUCCCAGGCCUUCCUUUGAUGUCUGGGUGGAAGCCUCACUGACUCCACAACUCUUGCAUUCUACAUGCUAGUAAACCCAGCAUCACAGGGAGGGUGUCAAGGUUGGCUGACACCUUAAGCAGGAGUCAGGGCCCAUUGGACUAUGGCUAUGGUGACCUCUGAGUGCCUGGAUAACUGAGCAUAGUGAAAUGAAUCCUAGGGAACUAAUUCCCUAGGAAGCCCUUCUUGAGUAGGGGUCCCAGGCUUCUCAAAAGGUUUGUACUUUUGCACCCAUGAGUCUGUGAUGCAUGGGAUCUCACUAAAUUCUGAGGUGCCCUGCGGGCAUCUUUCUUCUGGUUCCUGUACAAAGUACUUGAUUUUUUUUUCCUCCCAGUACCGGGGAUCCAACUCAGGAUCUUGUGCUUGCCAAUCUGGCACGGCACCACUGAGCUACAUCCCUGGCCAACUUGAUUUCUUUUUAAUGGAACUAAUCUCUUCAACAAUCACAACUUUUUUGGCCCCAACUUUAAUUAAGAAUUUAUUUAAAAAGUUUUCAUUUUUAGAAAUAAAGGUUUAAAAAACAAAAAUUUCCAAAACCAGUAAUUCUGUUAUAUCCUAAUUGUUUAGAAUUUUUCUAUAAACUCCAAAUAAGUAAAUAAUAAAAAAAUAAUUUCCAAAUCUUACAGAACAAAAAGAAAACCACAUUAAUCAUUAAAUACUUUUGGAUUUGCUUUACUUCUCCCAGGUUGAAUUCACAUAUAUAAAAACUGAUGUCCUUUACAUUCUGAAUCUCAAAUCUUCAACAGUCAAGUAAUUAUACAGUUAUAUGUAAAGUAUGUAUUUCAUAUUUACUUGCCAUAGAAAGCAGAAUGGAGAAUAAUACUGUGAUGUUUAAGAAAAUGCUGUUUCAAAAAUGUUGACUAGGUUCUUCUCUCUUUUAAGGUAUAUAUAGCUUUUUAGAUGUUAAACCUUUUGAAGGUUAUUUUAGAAGGGAUGUGAAGUGACUAGUUUAUUUCAGAUUUAGUGAAGAGUAAUUUGUCAGUAAUCUCAAAAAUCCAAGCCAGGAGAGGAUCAUUUUCUUUCUUUUUUCUUCAUGUGCUCAUUUCCUUCGUAAGGAAGGCCUGAUGCAGUAAGAGGAUACAUUUCACAAACUUCUAACACAGGUUUGUGAAUUGUCAGCUAAAGACACCACCUCUGAUGUGGAUGGUUUCAUUCAAUCUAUGUUCUACCAACUUUAUAUCUUCUAGAUCAUCUUUUAUAAUGCUAAUCAAGUGGCUAAGGCCUUCCUUUUGUUGGUUCAAAUGCUGUUUGAUCUCAUGUAACAGAUCUGCAUCUAUGUAAUAUCUUUCUUCAGAUCUGACUGCUCCAAAAUGGUUCUGCAUCCUGAUUUGGGACAUCAGUUCGUUUUGGCCCCAACUUUAUAUGUGCUUCCUUUGGGUCAAAAUUUAAGUUUUUCAAAUGUUUUAAUCUGGUUUUUGCCCGUACUUCUCACUUUAAUUCUGCCUAAGCACACCAUCAGUGGUCUGGCAGAGGAAUUUUCAAGACAGCCAGCCCAUUGCCCUUAAUCUCAGUUUCCCACAAAGUCUCAGGACAUGGGCAAAAUGCAGCCAAAUUGUUUUUUGUCAGCUUAACUCACAUAGCCUCUAGUCCAGCUGCCAAUGUAGUCCUUGUUCCCAGCUGACCCCUCUUGAGCCUAGCUUUUACUGCCUGCAUUCUUAUCAGCAUUUUGACCUUCUAUGCUCCAAUCAGAAUCAUCCAUCCGGCUCUGCUUUCAGCAUUCCAAGGCUUCUGUAGUCUGUAUCUAUAAACCUUUCCAAAUCUCUCGCGCAAACCGACUUCCUAAACCACAUGUACAGGUACAGUUACAGUGGCCGCCCUACUUUUCACUAAUUUUCUAUAUUAGUUUUUCUAUUACUAAGAUACAAUACUUAAGAGCCUCAACUUAAAGGAGGAGAAGCUUAAUGUGGCUCGUGAUUUUGGGAAUUCAGUCCAUGGUAGGUUGGCCCUGUGUCAGAAACGUCAUGUCAGAAGACUGUGGUGAAGCAAAGAGAUUUAAUUAAUGGUGGCCAGAAAGCAGAGCAGGGGAACAGUGCCAGAGAGGAAUGAGCCAGGGACCAGACAUAAACCCCUAAGGCCAUACCUCCAUGACCAAUCCAGACACAUCCUGAAGUGUGUUCCACCCAUCCUCCAGGCAUAGCCCAAACCCAAGCAAGACGAUACUCCACUCCAAGUGCUACUGUCAGGGAGUGGAACCUCUACAUGUGAGAAACUGGGAAGAAGCGAACAGUUCUGCAGUGGGGCAGGAGAGAGUCAGCACACCCUUACUUCAGUAAUUUUACCGUCUAUUAUAUUGUUGUAAAUCUACUAUACCUUAUUUAUUUCACCCUUUCAAAUUCUAAAGUGACAGUAAUUUACAUGAUCUCCUAUGCAAUGGUGGUAUAUUUUCCCCGGUUCUUUUCCAAAAGAUUCCACUUUUCUGUUUUAUAUAUACUAUUGUCUACUAAGCUCAACGUAUUGAAGAGUAUCUUGAUAUUCUUCUCUAUCCAACUGUGUUCACAAGAAAGAAACUUACAAGUUCUUUCACUAAUAAAUUAUAAAUGAUUAAUAAAGCUUAAUACUAUCACACCUAAAUGUAUAAUAGAAAAUGAAUGUUUAGAGCCAAAGAUAGUCAUGUUUAAUCACAUAAUUGUUAAGAAGAAUUUGAGACUUCAUCCUACUUAUAAGAUAACAAGAAAGCUUGUUAUAGCUUCAUGGUGCUUGUAGAAGAUAUGAGUCUCCUGGGUCAGAGACAGAGGAUACUCUAUUUAUUCACUGCAGUUUUAGAGCCGGAUAUCGGUCCUAACUCUCACCAAGUGAUGUGGAAAAUGUGAGAUGACACUUACUUUGCAGUGAUUGUGCUACCAGGGGUACAGAAGGAAUCCAGAAUUUAGUGAAUUUAAGUCUUUUAUGAUGGGCAGUAAAUAUGUCUGCUUUUCUUGGGAGGGAGACAACUAUACAUUCCAAGACUCUUCAUUAGAUAAGCAUGCUAGAGAGGAAUAAUGGUAAGUAGAAACAGGAGAGACCUAUGGAGAUUUGACCCUCAAUAACAUCUGCAGAUCAACAAGAGCCACUGGAGAUGUCACGGUGAGAAUUUGUUUUUGCUAAGUUUUAAGUAGUACUAGAGGCAGUCGUGUACUUUGCUUAUGCAAAGUCUGAAUUCAGUUUUCCAAAUUUUCCCAGAGUCUUCCUACUUUACGUAUAUUUCUAUCAAUAAAUAUAUAAUUACAAUUUUGUUUUUUUCCUGGGAAUAAAAGUAAUGCAUGGUCAUUAUAGCAAAUGUGGAGAAGUAGGAAGGAAAUAUAAAAAUCAUUCACAGUUUCAUCACUCAGAGGUAAACCUUCAUUAAAAUGUUGGCUUUUUAAAUGGUUCAGUCCAUAUUCUUUUUCAUGUAAAUUGAGAUAAUGUUAUUUACUUAUGUAUUUUGAUAGUUUUGCUUUUUUACAUAUGGAGAGAAUUGUACAAGGUCAUGAGUUAUUGCAUAAAAUUAUGAUUUUAAAAUAAUUGCAUAAUAUUCUUACAGUAAUAUGCCAUUUUAAAAAACUAUUCCUUCAGUGUUAGAAAAUUUGCUAUUAAAUAGUACAAUGAUGAAUAUUCUGGUACAUAAAUGCUUUUCAUUGCUGUUAGUUAGCUUCCUAUAAGAAAAAUUAUGGAAUUGAAGUGUCUAGUUUUAUUUUAAGGUUCUAUUUCCAGACUGCUUUCAAGAAAGAUUAUACCAAUUUACAUACAUAGAACAAUGUUGGUGAUUGUUUUUCUCCUCACAUAUUCAAUACAGUUGAAUGUUUUAAUUUUAAAACCUGUUAAUAAGAUAGCUAAAAAUAUGCUUUUAAAUUAGCAUUUUUUGAUUACUAGUAAAAUAUAGUUGUGCCUUAAUAUGGGGGGGGGCUUUGGCUCCAGAACCUCUCUGGGAACCAAAGCCUGCUGAUGCUCAAGUAUCUUAUAUCACAAGGUGUGGUAUUUGCUUAUAACCUAUUCUCAUCCUCUAGAUAUGUUAAAUCUUCCCUAGAUUACUUAUACAGCCUAAUACAAUGAAAAUACCAUGUAAAUACUUGUUAUAUUGUAUGGUUUAGGGAAUAAUGACAUGAAAAAAAUAAGUCUGUACAUGCUCAGUAUGCCACUGUUUUAGAAAAACAUUUUUAAUUCAAGGUUGUUUAAAUCAUUUUGUUACAAAACCUUUGGAUAUGAAAAGCUGUUAUCUUUCUCUGUUAUUUAAUGGAUCCUUUGUAUUUGUUUUUAAAAUCUGCUCAUGACCUUUUUCAUUAUCCUAAUAAAGUUUUAAUAUUUUUCUUACUAAAGAAAAGCUUUCCAAAUACCCUGUCUGUAACAUUUUGUAUACUAGAAUUUUGUAAAGUAUCUCCCUAAAUGGUUUAUUUUUAAGUUGUAUUAAUGCUGAUUUUAGACACUUGGACAUUAAACAUUGUCUGGCC
This 8976-nucleotide long non-coding RNA is filed under the name Heterocephalus glaber (naked mole-rat). RNAcentral's name for it is "lncRNA (ENSHGLG00100039863.1)". The record is from RNAcentral. Lineage: Eukaryota; Metazoa; Chordata; Mammalia; Rodentia; Bathyergidae.